GUAAAGGAGGCGGAGCCGUGGUCACCAUCGGGAGGGCCCCAAAGUAACCUCGGGAGGAAAAGCCAAGCGGCGCAAGGCGGCCACCCAGGACGAGCGGCUCCCGCUGCGGGACGGAGACGACAGUCAUAGCGCUAGGAAGCUUGUCGCUCAGCAACGAAGAGAGAAGGAGAAGGUGAAUGAAGCCAGUGAAGAUAGGGUGGCGGCGAUGGAUGCUGCUAGGAGAGCCUGAGAAGAUCGCGGAACAUGACUCGGGCGGUGGCGGCGCAGCAACAAAUAGCCACAGCCCCAGCUCCGAGUGUUGUUAUC
Molecule: long non-coding RNA, 306 nt
Filed under: Homo sapiens (human)
Lineage: Eukaryota; Metazoa; Chordata; Mammalia; Primates; Hominidae
Description: non-protein coding lnc-SRSF12-2:1
Source: RNAcentral